RNAcentral lists this unclassified non-coding RNA (160 nucleotides) under uncultured Tetracladium. RNAcentral's name for it is "sequence contains ITS1". Lineage: Eukaryota; Fungi; Ascomycota. The record is from RNAcentral.
CCGAGUUCAUGCCCUUACGGGUAGAUCUCCCACCCUUUGUAUACUAUACCUUUGUUGCUUUGGCGAGCCGCCUAGCUACUGGCUUCGGCUGGUAAGUGCUCGCCAGAGAACCCAAAACCCUGAAUUAUUAGUGUCGACUGAGUAAAAUAUUUAAUAUUUA